GAGUUUGAUCCUGGCUCAGAUUGAACGCUGGCGGCAGGCCUAACACAUGCAAGUCGAACGGUAACAGGAAGCAGCUUGCUGCUUCGCUGACGAGUGGCGGACGGGUGAGUAAUGUCUGGGAAGCUGCCUGAUGGAGGGGGAUAACUACUGGAAACGGUAGCUAAUACCGCAUAAUGUCGCAAGACCAAAGAGGGGGACCUUCGGGCCUCUUGCCAUCGGAUGUGCCCAGAUGGGAUUAGCUUGUUGGUGGGGUAACGGCUCACCAAGGCGACGAUCCCUAGCUGGUCUGAGAGGAUGACCAGCCACACUGGAACUGAGACACGGUCCAGACUCCUACGGGAGGCAGCAGUGGGGAAUAUUGCACAAUGGGCGCAAGCCUGAUGCAGCCAUGCCGCGUGUAUGAAGAAGGCCUUCGGGUUGUAAAGUACUUUCAGCGGGGAGGAAGGGAGUAAAGUUAAUACCUUUGCUCAUUGACGUUACCCGCAGAAGAAGCACCGGCUAACUCCGUGCCAGCAGCCGCGGUAAUACGGAGGGUGCAAGCGUUAAUCGGAAUUACUGGGCGUAAAGCGCACGCAGGCGGUUUGUUAAGUCAGAUGUGAAAUCCCCGGGCUCAACCUGGGAACUGCAUCUGAUACUGGCAAGCUUGAGUCUCGUAGAGGGGGGUAGAAUUCCAGGUGUAGCGGUGAAAUGCGUAGAGAUCUGGAGGAAUACCGGUGGCGAAGGCGGCCCCCUGGACGAAGACUGACGCUCAG
RNAcentral lists this ribosomal RNA (752 nucleotides) under uncultured bacterium. Its description in RNAcentral is "bacterial SSU rRNA". It matches the Rfam family "Bacterial small subunit ribosomal RNA", at positions 9 to 750 of the family's 1533-position model. The record is from RNAcentral.